RNAcentral lists this long non-coding RNA (1373 nucleotides) under Anser cygnoides (Swan goose). Its description in RNAcentral is "lncRNA (ENSACDG00005004086.1)". The record is from RNAcentral. Lineage: Eukaryota; Metazoa; Chordata; Aves; Anseriformes; Anatidae.
AAAGGUACAUGAUCAAUAGCAAGUCAUAGACAAACAGUCAUUGUACGAGCCCAGAACCAGCAGGGCACGCCUUGGUCCCGUGCUUCUGCUCAAGCAUUCAGUGCUUCUAGCCAGCUGGGGUUCCGUGAUUUCGCCCAGCUAGGUGUUGAUGCAGCGGCUUGCAGGAGAGUGGCCACGUGUGCAGCGAUCCCUGGUGUUGCUCCUGGUGCUCCUGCUGCUGCAGAGCAUUGCCCACAGGUGUUCACAUCGCGAGAGGAGGAGGUGUUUUCUGCAGUUAAAAAGUGGUCAGGACAGCACGCCGCUGCCGGGGCCUGCAGGAGCAUCUCCUCGGCUCAGGCAUUCACGGAGCUCAACUCGGAACAGAGCUAGCUAGAGGCACAGCAGACGUCGAUCGAAACCUUCUCGUUGUGUACGGCUUGAAACUGUUUCUCGUUCGUUAGUCAGCCCGCUGAAGUACUUUGCCAGGAAGCUGGGCGUUGCGCCCGAGCCUGCGGGCACCUGCGUGGUGUGACCGCCCCGCGGGCGGCCCUCGCCGACAGCUCCUGCUCACGUCCUCGCGGCUGGAGCUCUGGGCGCCCUGCAUCCGCACGUGCUUUCGUGUGCGAAACGUGUGUUGAAAAAUCAUCUGUGGUACGUAGUUGCACUUGAGGUUACCUGAAAGGGAAGUCGUGCUGCUCUGCUGCUGGAAGCCCGGAGCUGGCACCCGCGGCGGUUGGUAGCAGUGAUUUUGCACUGAAACUUUCUCUCUUUUCCUGCUCAUCUCAUGCUCAUACUUAAACACCAAGCUAUGACUGACUUCCCGAGGCAAUCUGAAGGAAGGACUUUGUGUUGAAAAUCGCCUCUUUUCUUUCCUGGGGUCGGGCGACACCAGCCUGUACGCAGCAGCGCGUUUUGUCCUGGCUCAAACCGCCCGGCAGGCAAAGUGCGCUCGUUUGCAGUGGCACCUUACAGAGCAGGGCCGAGUCCUCUGUCGGGGGUUUGUCAGAUACCUGAAACUUGCCAGUAUCAGUUAGAAUACAAAGGGCACUAAACUUGCCUUAAAGUGCAUUGAUCACGUGUAAUUUAAAAUUCUGUGUUCUUAUUCUUUCAGAAACAAAAAACGUAAAGAAAACCAUUAAUUACCUCAUGCUAUAAAUUUAUGUAAAUUGUUGACUGUAACAUAAGGAUCACUUGAAUAUAUGCAUGUUACAUGAAAAUGUUAGAAGUUAAAAGAAGAGUAUUUACUAAAUAACAUAGUGAAUUGUAAUAGUUAAGUCAGUGUUGAGUUCCUUUACAUGAUUUGAAAGAGUAUCUUUGUAAAAAAUCAUCUUUGCAAUCAUUUUCAAAGCAGCAUUUUCUUUUUGCCUGAGACUUUGAACAGACUUUUCUUUCCU